GUUGGCUGGAGACUUCAAAUUCAAUCCAUGUAUGGGCUGAAAUGGCGGUUGUUCGGAGGCGGUCUUUGUAGACCAUGCACUGAAGCUUUGUAGGUGAAGCUUUGCAAGUGAAGCUUUGAAGCUGGAGCUCUGUAAAUGAAGCUUUUGAAGCUAGAGCUUUUGUAAAUGAAGCUUUUGAAGUUGGAGCUCUGUAAAUGAAGCUUUUGAAGCUAGAGCUUUUGUAAAUGACGUUUUUGAAGCUAAGGCUUUGUAAAUGAAACUUUUGAAGUUGAUUGUCAUGAGUGAUGCUCAUGAAUGUUUAAUUGACAUGAGUGAUGCUCAUGAAUGUUUGAUUGACAUGAGUGAUGCUCAUGGAUGUUAACAUGAGUGAUGCUCAUGAAUGUUUAUGUAUGAUUGACAUGAGUAAUGUUCAUGUAUGAUUUGAAGUACUGGGCGUACUUUUAAUCACCUGGUUGGUGGCAUAAAGGAGAGUACGGGUUGUACAUUUCAUCACCUGGUUGGUGGUAAUAGCGGCAGGUUGCCGAAUAAUUUUGGAGUAUUGGGCGUACUUUUGAUGACCUGGUUGGUGCUAUUUUAGGCUUAUGGGCCUUCACUCUCCACACAACAUUCCAACCCAUUUAUUUUGGGUUUUGUCGUUUUUUUUUUUUAAUUUUUUUUUUGAACCCUCUGAUGGGGUUUAUACAUAUUACCCUCUGAUGGGGUUUAUACAGAUGUUUCCGAAAGAUAAGGAAAAUAAAUUACAUCAUUCUGGUGGGGUGUUUAUUCCAUGCUUUUGCAGUGUUUUUCUGCUGCACUCUCUCUGUUUCUUUAUCUGGCAGACAUAAGGAAUCAUAAUAAUAGGAAGAUCUUUUGCUUUUCUUUUUUUCUCUUUUCCUUUUCUGCUUUUCCUUUUGCUUUCUCUUUUUUAUCUUUUCCACUGCACUACAUGUUUACAGCAUGAGUGAGUGCAUGGUUGGAGUUCGUGGAGGACCCGUUGGUGGUGCCCGUGCCACUGCUAGUGGAUGAUUGCUUUUGCCUAUUUUUUGAUGAUGGUGUCUCUUUCUUUUUGAGUUGGUAGUCGACACAUUAAUUCAUCAGAUAAAAAAAAAAAUUCUUAUCUUCUUUCAUCAGCUUUCUCUGUCCACCACCACAUUGAACCUUAGCUCCAUGAUAUGGGUCUAUCUGAAAAGCAACUUGGGACUGAUUGUAACCAGCCCUUCUACUGGAUACAUGGUGAUGUCUCCAUUGAAGCCGUGACGUCUCCGAGGGCAUGGUGGGCCAGACUUCCACCCGAAAAGCCGCUGGCAUCAUUCUCCAGAUGAUCAAGGAAGGAAAAAUCACGGGUCGGGCCGUUCUUCUGGCGGGUCAGCCCAGAACCGGCAAGAUCGCCAUCUGCGUCGGUUAUGGAGGUGGAGUCGUAGAGGAGGCCGUCGGUGGUCAUGGAGCCAAUUGGAAGCGAUGACGUCGUGUUAACGAUGUUGUUCUGGUAGUCCCGUAGGUUUUGGGGGUGCGCAGAGGAGGAAGACUGGUGUGGUGUGGUGGUGGUGGGCUUGGGCUUUGUAGCGGAGG
This 1548-nucleotide long non-coding RNA is filed under the name Malus domestica (apple). RNAcentral describes it as "long non-coding RNA (MDOM_LNC005438)". Lineage: Eukaryota; Viridiplantae; Streptophyta; Magnoliopsida; Rosales; Rosaceae. The record is from RNAcentral.